AAGUUUGAGAGCAACCAUAUUGGGCAAAAUGUUGUCUCAGUCCCAAUAGUUGAGAGAGGUACACAUGACUUUCCACUCUCUGAUUCCCUGAUUGGAUGCCUACCCUUUCCCGACAUUGUUUAUGUCCAAAGGUGAUUGGUCGUAUUAUCUAUUGUCUACUGAGCAGUGAAGAACAGUCGAACAAAACUCAUCCACUGAACUGCAGUCAUGAAGUGUGCUGCUAUAGCUUUGCUCCUGUGUGCUCAGCUCAAUCUUCUCCAUGGUGCCUGUUCUUACUUUAACGCGAUUAAACCAGGCAUGACUCAUUGUCAAGACUUUGUGGACAAGACCUGGCAUCCCGUUGGCUCUAAAUGGAGGAACUCUGCAUGUCAGGACUGCACCUGUGAGCGGUGCUGCAAUGCGUAUGUGACGCCCAGGAAAAUACCAGAUGACUGCAUGAUGGAAUUUGACCAGACAGAGUGUAAAUACAAGGUG
This is a long non-coding RNA of Megalops cyprinoides (Indo-Pacific tarpon), 474 nucleotides long. RefSeq lists it as uncharacterized. The transcript is spliced from 4 exons. NCBI's taxonomy places the organism in Eukaryota, Metazoa, Chordata, Actinopteri, Elopiformes, Megalopidae. The record is from RefSeq and is a predicted model, not a curated record.